This is a long non-coding RNA of Esox lucius (northern pike), 1180 nucleotides long. The record is from Ensembl. NCBI's taxonomy places the organism in Eukaryota, Metazoa, Chordata, Actinopteri, Esociformes, Esocidae.
CAAACACCAAGACGUUCAGUCUGUCAGAAAAGGUACCCUCCCUGGGUAAAGCUCUAUGUUUGGCCAAAGCCCAUAGGACUACAUGGGGAACAGACUGCCGUGUCGUAUUUGGCCGUGGUGACAGUUCAGUGAUCCGUGAGGUGCGCUGAAGGGGGAAUAUUAAUCAGAGUUGUGUGCUGCUGCUGUGACCUCUCGUGUGAGGUCGUCUCCUAGGAUCCAGUCUGCAGCAGGUUUUAUGGAUUAUGAUAAUUUCUUCUGUCUAUCUCGUAACCCCAUACUGCUUUAGAGGCCAGCCUAACGAGCCAUAACACACAGCCAUUUGAGUUCCAUUACUGGCUCAACUUCUUUUGGGGGGCGAAGAAGGGAUCACACGCUUCCCAAACGGCAAUUGGUGCCCAAUUCUCCAUAUAGAAUGCCUCCUGUUGAUGACCUCCCACGACACAAGAUUAGUCCAAAAUGGCACCCAUAAAUUCUCUAGUCAAAAGUGAAGGUGGCGUGGUGCCAUUCUGGAUGCAGGCGAAGUUUGUGAGUGGCUGAGCUCUUUAUACUUUUUGCCCGAGUGUGGCCAUUGGAUGAGCAGGACAGUGGUGGUAACCUUUCGCUUUGUGCUCCGACAGAACUCAAUUUCCUCAUGGAUUAAGUCUCAACUCUGAGUCCUGGAGUCCGUCAGUUUAUCCUUUGGCCGAGAGCCAAGAGUGGAGGAACAAAAAUCACCUUCAGUGCACUACUGCCUGUGGGCCUGACAUCAUCUGUGAACAGGAAGCAAAAAGCAUGGACCAUUAAGCACCAUGUUUACAUUAAGCACCCUGACCAUGACGAUGCUGAUGCUGCAGACUUAAGACUGAUGACCGGGGCGUGGUGGUCAUGUGGUGGGCAUUUGCCAAGUCAGGGCAUUUGCCAAGUCAGGAUGGUCUCCGCGGUGCAGCCAGUCAGGAUGGUCUCCGUGAUGCAGCCAGUCAGGAUGGUCUCCGUGAUGCAGGCAGUCAGGAUGGUCUCCGUGAUGCAGCCAGUCAGGAUGGUCUCCGUGAUGCAGCCAGUCAGGAUGGUCUCCGUGAUGCAGCCAGUCAGGAUGGUCUCCGUGAUGCAGCCAGUCAGGAUGGUCUCCGUGAUGCAGCCAGUCAGGAUGGUCUCCGUGAUGCAGCCAGUCAGGAUGGUCUCCGUGAUGCAGCCAGUCAGGAUG